Molecule: ribosomal RNA, 71 nt
Filed under: Mantoniella antarctica
Lineage: Eukaryota; Viridiplantae; Chlorophyta; Mamiellophyceae; Mamiellales; Mamiellaceae
Description: partial Trypanosomatid mitochondrial large subunit ribosomal RNA
Source: RNAcentral
GCCACCCUGCUGGGUCUCGCGGCAUCGAUGGGCGCUUUGCGGACGUACCGCAACGGCUUUGGGGGAUUGGA